AAUGAACGCUGGCGGCGCGCCUAAUACAUGCAAGUCGAGCGAGAAGACGUAGCAAUACGUUUGUAAAGCGGCGAACGGGUGAGGAAUACAUGGGUAACCUACCCUCGAGUGGGGAAUAACUAGCCGAAAGGUUAGCUAAUACCGCGUACGCUCCUUGGACUUCGGUUCAGGGAGGAAAGCGAUACCGUGGGUAUCGCGCUCUUGGAUGGGCUCAUGUCCUAUCAGCUUGUUGGUGAGGUAACGGCUCACCAAGGCUUCGACGGGUAGCUGGUCUGAGAGGACGAUCAGCCACACUGGCACUGCGACACGGGCCAGACUCCUACGGGAGGCAGCAGUAAGGAAUAUUGCGCAAUGGGCGAAAGCCUGACGCAGCGACGCCGCGUGGGGGAUGGAAGGUCUUCGGAUUGUAAACCCCUUUCGGG
Molecule: ribosomal RNA, 422 nt
Filed under: uncultured bacterium
Lineage: Bacteria
Description: bacterial SSU rRNA
Rfam family: Bacterial small subunit ribosomal RNA
Source: RNAcentral